GCGGCAGGCUUCAUACAUGCAAGUCGAGGGGCAGCAUAAAUUACUUGUAAUUUGAUGGCGACCGGCGAACGGGUGCGUAACGCGUAUGCAACUUACCUUUUACUAGAGAAUAGCCAAGAGAAAUUUUGAUUAAUGCUCUAUGUUCUUAUUUACUCGCAUGAGUAAAUAAGCAAAGCUCCGGCGGUAAAAGAUGGGCAUGCGUCCUAUUAGCUUGUAGGUGAGGUAAUGGCUCACCUAAGCUCCGAUAGGUAGGGGUCCUGAGAGGGAGAUCCCCCACACUGGUACUGAGACACGGACCAGACUUCUACGGAAGGCAGCAGUAAGGAAUAUUGGACAAUGGAGGCAACUCUGAUCCAGCCAUGCCGCGUGAAGGAAGACGGCCUUAUGGGUUGUAAACUUCUUUUAUACAGGAAGAAACCUUUCCACGUGUGGAAAGCUGACGGUACUGUAAGAAUAAGGAUCGGCUAACUCCGUGCCAGCAGCCGCGGUAAUACGGAGGAUCCAAGCGUUAUCCGGAAUUAUUGGGUUUAAAGGGUCCGCAGGCUGUUUGUUAAGUCAGAGGUGAAAUCCUACCGCUCAACGGUAGAACUGCCUUUGAUACUGGCAAACUUGAGUUAUUGUGAAGUAGUUAGAAUGUGUAGUGUAGCGGUGAAAUGCAUAGAUAUUACACAGAAUACCGAUUGCGAAAGCAGAUUACUAACAAUAUACUGACGCUGAGGGACGAAAGCGUGGGUAGCGAACAGGAUUAGAUACCCUGGUAGUCCACGCCGUAAACGAUGGUCACUAGCUGUUCGAUGUACAUUGGUACGUUGAGUGGCUAAGCGAAAGUGAUAAGUGACCCACCUGGGGAGUACGC
Molecule: ribosomal RNA, 856 nt
Filed under: uncultured Flavobacteriaceae bacterium
Lineage: Bacteria; Pseudomonadati; Bacteroidota; Flavobacteriia; Flavobacteriales; Flavobacteriaceae
Description: bacterial SSU rRNA
Rfam family: Bacterial small subunit ribosomal RNA
Source: RNAcentral